Molecule: long non-coding RNA, 3456 nt
Organism: Mus musculus (house mouse)
Lineage: Eukaryota; Metazoa; Chordata; Mammalia; Rodentia; Muridae
Product: predicted gene, 53546
Exons: 2
Source: RefSeq, a predicted model, not a curated record
GAGGACAACUUGGUCUACAGAGUGAGUUCAAGGAGAGCCAGGACUAUACACAGAAGAAACAAAACAACAGCAAAAAACCAAGAGCAAUCACAUCCGUUAAAACCUAUAUUUAAAUGGUUGUGAAAGGUAAAUAAACCCUAACCCUUAUUUUUACUGUGUAUACUUAUUAUUGGCUUGAACUUCCUGUGUCAGGGAAAUAGGGACCUUUGUUCUAAUGUCUGUUCACAUGGAUCCGUGUGUCACAUGGAUCAGUGCGUGUGUGUGUGUGUGUGUGUGUGUGUGUGUGUGUGUGUGUGUGUGAUAGCUGUCAGGCAUUGGGACAUAACGGUUCUAGAAUGAUUUAAAAGAACAGAACAGAAACAGUGUAUCAAUUUCUGUUCUAUUUCUGAGAUCCGACUUCUUUUCAGUGUCACUGCAGGGUUGCCUCCAUUUCUCUGUGGCUUAGAAUUAGACCCCUGUGCCUAUUAGCUGCAAAUGUACCCGCAUUGUUGGUUGUCUAAGUGGUAUCUAAGUGGUAGCUUUUCUCCUCCAUUGUCAGGAAUAGCAGCCUGGAGCUCCUGGCUUCAUACCUCUGAGCUCCUACCAUAGGCAAGAAACUGGUUUAUUGAGUGUGAAGAUUUCGAUUCAGAGGUUGGUUGAUAACAGAGUGGAAGAAACAGGCUUAGGCUCAGGGGAUGAUAAAAACUCAGAUUUUUGUUUUUUGUUUUUCUUAUUUUCUAAAAUAAAUAAAUCUUUAAAAACUUCAAAGCAACACGAGAACAAAGAGGAAAACACACAAAGGUGCAGCCGGUCCAUCUUUUCCUCAUUUAGCAGACACUUGCUGAGUCUGACCCAGCUAUGAAACGGUGAAGCAAUGGUGAAUCAACUUAUGGUGCUCUCCCAUACACAUCACAGCAGGACGUGGGCAGGCACACAAUUUUUGUUUUAAGCAAAGAAAUAUUGAACAUUUACCAAGUGAAAUACUACAUUGUUAUUUUUUUAAAUAUCUUAAGAAAUGAUUAUAUGAAUUUUUUAAUCAGUUUAAAACAUCUAUUUGGAGCAUUAAACAUGAUAGAAGUAGGAAAAAACCUCUCUUAUGAAGUCCUCUAUGAAGGGAAAUUGUGACACGUUCCUGAUUAGACAGAAGCCGUUCCAGUUCCAAGGGCGAAGACCCAGCGUAACUGUGGCUUCACAGAAUGAAUUGGGUAGUGUUCCUUCUGUCUCUAUUUUGUGGAAUAGUUCUUUGAAGGUCUGAGAGAAUUCUUCACUAAACCCAUCUGGUCCUGAGCUUUUUUUUUUUUUUUUUUUUUGGUUGGGAGACUUUCAGUGACUGCUUCUAUCUCUUUAGGGGUUAUGGGACUGUUUAGAUGGCUUAUCUGAUCCUGAUUUAACUUUGGUAUUUGGUAUCUGUCUAGAAAAUUCUCCAUUUCAUCCAUAUUUUCCAGUUUUGUUGAAUAUAGGCUUUUGUAGUAGGAUCUGAUGAUUUUUUAAUUUCCUCUGUUUCUGUUGUUAUAUCUCCCUUUUCAUUUCUGAUUUUGUUAGUACUUUGGAUACUGCCUCUGCCCUCUGGUUAGUCUGGCUAAGGGUUUAUCUAUCUUGUUGAUUUUCUCAAAGAACCAGCUCCUGGUUUUGUUGAUUCUUUGUAUAGUUCUUUUUGUUUCUACUUGGUUGAUUUCAACCCUGAGUUUGAUUAUUUCCUGCCCUCUAUUCCUCUUGGCUGAAUUUGCUUCCUUUUGUUCUAGAGCUUUUAGGUGUGUUGUCAAGCUGCUAGUGUGUGCUCUCUCCGGUUUCUUUUUGGAGGCACUCAGACCUAUGAAAACUCAGAUUUUUGAAUGUUGGGUUUGAAAUGUCUACAAGAUUUCCUAAAGAACACCUGUCAUAGGUGGAUAAAUCUGGAUUUGGGAACCAUUUGUACAACGAUGUUAUUAAACCCAUGGUCUGGAUUAGGCGGCUCAGGAAGUGAACGCAUAGGUGACCUGGGAAGUGAAGGAGAACACUGAGGCUGAACCUUGGGUCUGUUUGGGAAGAGGGUUGUUGCCUCCGGGUGCGCUUCCAGUGUGUCGUGAAGGCUUCUCUGUGCACGGUGAACUUUCACUUAGCUGACGUGUAAAGGAAUCCUUGUAAGAAGCUGCAGAGUUCAGCCAGUCACAGCAGCUGAGCUCCAGGAAGCCACAGGCGGCCAGUUUUCCAGAUCAACUGCAAACAAGAUGCUUGGCUAGCAAGUGAAAUGCUUGUUCUAGUCCCCGAUUACAGUCACCCAUUAAAUGAAGCAUCUAGGUGGCAUAUGCUGGCUAAGCUGGAAGAAAGCCUAUCUUAAUCCCAGCUAAGACGAUUUCGAAUUUGAAACCGUGCCUCUGAUGGGAACUUCAGUUAAUUUUGCAAUCCCUUGCUCACGAUAUGUACCAGUUAAGAUGUGGGAAUCAACCAAGUGUUCAACAGUGAUUGGACAGAUAAUCAAAAUGCAGCCUCUGGGAACCGGGUGUUACUUCUAAGCCGAAAAACAAGAGGAAGCUUUGAUACUUGUGAAAAAGGGAAGGAGGAUGUGGGAUCACACUCCUGAAAUCCCAGCGUUUGGGAGUCUGAUGCAGGGUGUUGGUGGAUUUGGAAGGCACCCUGGACAACUGUGGUCAAGGCUAAUCCAAGCUCGGCAGUGAAGCCCGAUUUCAAAAACCAACCAACCAACCAAGGUUUGAGGGUGAAGCACCGUGGUGACGCCAGGAUACUGCUCAGUCUCUGGGCUCGAUCCCCAAUCUCCUGACCACAAAAGCAACUGAAAGUUUGGGACCCUUUCCCCCGAAGCAAGAGUGGUCCAGAGACUACUUCUGGUUCCCUAGAUCAGCACACUGACUAGUUCUGUUUAAUGCAAUUAAAAGUAAUUACAGAUGCCAAGUUUCCUCAGUCUGCAUCUCCUAAGGACUGGGCUACCUUUCCUACAACCACCAGAUCAUCGCCACACCUUAGAAACUUAAUAGUCCUAAUAUACCUGAUAAACCAUCUUGACUUGGGUUUAGAGAUUCUCAAUUUUCCCUAGGAUGAGCUUUUAGCUUUUUUUUUUUUAAGUUAAAAGAAUGUAGAGUUCUAUCAAGGUUCAUCUCUCUCUCUCUCUCUCUCUCUCUCUCUCUCACACACACACACACACACACACCUGCACACAUGCACACAUGCACACAUAGGGACAUUUUUGGUGGCUCCUUUUUCUGUUCACAUCCCAAGAGAGUACUUUCUUUUUGGGAAGUACCUAUUUCACACUAUGGAUUGUUUUGCAGAAUCUAGGACUAACAUCUGUAUAAUCAAGAUUUGUGUAAAUUUAUUAUCAUUAUUAUUAUUUAAAGACAAGAUGUGGGUAGAUGCUGAGUUGGUGGGGCAGAAUGUAUUCUCCAACUCUGAAUGUCCCGAUCUUUAGCAAAAUCCUCCCCUUUGGCCUUGUUUCCCACUGCCUUUGGAGAGUACCCAGGGCCAAGACCAUUUCCUGGCAGU